CCUACGGGUGGCAGCAGUGAGGAAUAUUGGUCAAUGAACGCAAGUCUGAACCAGCCAUGCCGCGUGCAGGAAGACGGCUCUAUGAGUUGUAAACUGCUUUUGUACGAGGGUACACGCAGAUACGCGUAUCUGUCUGAACGUAUCGUACGAAUAAGGAUCGGCUAACUCCGUGCCAGCAGCCGCGGUACUACGGAGGAUACAAGAGUUAUCCGGAUUUAUUGGGUUUAAAGGGUGCGUAGGCGGGCGGAUAAGUUAGAGGUGAAAUCCCGAGGCUCAACUUCGGGAUUGCUUCUGAUACUUUCAGGCUAGAGAGUAGUUGCGGUAGGCGGAAUGUAUGGUGUAGCGGUGAAAUGCUUAGAGAUCAUACAGAACACCGAUUGCGAAGGCAGCUUACCAAGCUACUUCUGACGUUGAGGCACGAAAGCGUGGGGAGCAAACAGGAUUAGAUACCCCAGUAGUC
Molecule: ribosomal RNA, 460 nt
Filed under: uncultured bacterium
Lineage: Bacteria
Description: partial 16S ribosomal RNA
Rfam family: Bacterial small subunit ribosomal RNA
Source: RNAcentral